GGAGGAGCGGCCCCUUCAAAAGUGAGCUGGGUGCUCGGGCUGUGCCCCCACCACGCUUCUCCCGCACAGCCCUGGUGCCAGCCCUGCGUAGCCCCAUGCCCCUGGCUACGUCCACAUUGAGCCAGGCUGGCUCAGCACGGACAGUGGAUGAAGGUUUACCACACACCCCUCUUCCCCCCUUUGCAUGGCAGGGACAUGAGCAGCCAUGGGGGCAGAGUCCAGUGUGCUGCACUCAGGUGAGUGCAGGGCCUACGGGGGGGUGGGGGGGGGCAGCUUGUGGCUGGUGGACUCCAGGUUACAGAGGGUUUAUUGGGCCCUUCACAUGUGCUUUUGGGUGAGCCAUGAGGUGCCGGUUGCAGCAUUUCUGGUUCAUGUCUUUGUGUGCUGUUCCUACAACCAUUGCAGCUCCUGGUGCUGCAGGAAAAUCCCCCCAGGAUUUGGGGACUGAGCCCUGUGUCAGGAGGGGAGAGGCUCCCUUGGUGCCAGCAGUGUGCUUCUGGAGACUGCAUGAAAUAGGGACACGUGCAUGGUGCUUCCUCUUGGUGCAGGAUGGAGGGAAGGGUAGCAUUUGGCUGCUCCUGGGAGUGUUUGGACAUGCAGGUGAGGGGUGCAAAUGACACUGAGGUGCCAGCAGCAGGACGGGAAAGGACGUCAAGGUAUGAGGUAUGAAACUGCAUGGUUUCUUGUUAGAAGCAGGACACAUUUCUGUGUGAGGGAGAGUUCUGAAUUACAUUUCCCACUUUUUGGAGUAGAUUUGAAGAGGAAGUUGGGACUCAUAGGACAAGACGGAGUAGAAGUUUUCAAUGAAGCAGGGCUAGGCAGGGGGGUGUCCAGCUUGGGCUUUCUUUCAGUUAUAUGACAAAAGCAAGGAGAAAAUCAGCAUACAGAGGGCUGCAGUGUUGUUAGCAUGACAGGGUGGCAUGGAUGGUGGUGGUGGGAACACAUGUUGGUUUUAUUCUUCCUGCAGUUGUUUGGAGACCGUCCUCACUGCAUUACUUCAGGGUCUGUCUCACUUAGAUCCUCUCCAAAGCUGGGACAACUGCAGUACCUGUCAUACAGUUUCCAGGAGCUUUCCUUAGGACAUGGAAGUUGCUUACCACACCAUCCAGUAACUGCUGCCCAAAGACAGCUGGAAGCCCAGGCUGAGGUGGCAAGACACCUCACAGUCACUCUAGAGUGGGAGGGAGAGGGCAUCACCUCCUGCCUGCCACCUCCUGGGCAGGGACAAAGGUGUUGGAAAAGCUGUUGCCCUGUGCUGCUGUUGCACAGGUAACAAGGGGUAAGUAAUUUAUGUGCCACUGAUAAGGCUCCCUCUUUGAACGUAAGACCCCUUGGAACAUGGAGCAUGGCCUCAUUGGCAGCAAUAGCUCUCUUAGCCUGGAGUUGCUCCCUGCAGCAGAGCAUGCAGCCAUGGAACAGUUUUGGCACCUGCCACUGAGGAGCAGGAGUUAUUCAUUAAAUGGCUGCACCAUUUGUCCUCUUGCUCUGUUUUUGUAUUGUUAACUGUCUCAUCCAAAUCAGCAGAGGUGCUACAGGGAACUGUUCUUGGGUAUAUGGCCUGGCUUGCCUGAGAUGAAGCAAGCCUAUCAGGCUUUGCUGGAGCCUGCCUGAUAGAUGAGAUCAACCUUACUGAGCCAAAUAUUUCACUGUUUGUCAGGCAAAACUCCCAGCAGGGUCAGCUGAAGGUCUGGGAGCAUAGGAAGGUCCUAUAUGGAACAGGACGGCAUUCAGUGGAAGUCUGCCAUGAGCAAAGCCUCCUUUGAGUUUGACUUUGUUAUAACAAAGGCUUCCAGCUCCUAGAAGAAGCAUAGCCCAAGGUUACUGAUGGCCAGGGGUUCAGCAGACCCUGUUGCCACAGAUAUGUGGGUAUUCUUGCUUUCAACCCAAGCUGCAAUUUGAGUUUCACUAAGUGGAAAAGAUGACUUUGAUUCCAAUUCAAUCGUACAUAUUAGGUGCAUGUCUUGAAACAGCUGCAGCCUGCAUCUUGGGGUGCUGCUACUCGGGAAGUGAAAACCAUGCAGCCACAUUUGUAUGCAUGCUGUUAUUAGGUUUAGAGUCAGGCCUGUCCAAUAAUUUUACUUUUCAUUUAUUUUCUUCAGAAGUUGCAGAGCAGUCUGACAGCCCUGUGAAAAUAUCUGGGAGAUGACAUGCAGCUUGGAGGGGAACUUUCUGUGACUUCGAUAAGGGAUUGACUGAAGGAUGCAGGAAGAAGAACGCUUUUUGUUUUCCCCUCAGAGUAUGAGUUGAUUGCUCAAUCUGUUUCAUAACACUGAGUUUUUACUUGAAAAUACCCACUUCAGCUUGAAACCAGAAGAUCUAACAGUGACAAAUCCAUUCAGAUCAGAUACUGUCAUUAUGAGGUGGGGUAACAAGCUCCAUUCCCAUCUGCUGAUAGAAUUAUCUCCGCUGUGUCCUGUCCUCUUAUCUGUCACUCACAGCAACAUUUCAAGUGGCUGUUUUCCCCUUCAGAAAGCCACAAUGGGGGAUUAUUUUAAGCUGCAAUUGCAGAAGCAAUGCUCUUUUCUUCUUCCCUACACCCCCCCCCCCCCCCCCCCCCCGCCUCAGGACCAGAUAUUCCACUGUUAGAAUUCAGCAAUGAAGUUGAGGGGAGUCUGGUCACUGAUCCCUGCUGAAGAGCCCACUCAGUCUUUCUUCAUGUGGCCACUUUGAUAUGGCCGAGAGUCUUUUGGGGGAUGACAGGUUCAUUUUUCUUUUCUGACACUGUUCUCAUUAAUGUGCAGUGUCUAACUCUCACUGAAAAUCUUUUCCAGGUAGAGAAAGUGCAUCCCUGCUUUAUUAACAUCAGCAACAACUAUGCAAACCAGUCAGAGCCUGUUAAAAAAGCCUUUACUUCUCAUGGUACAGCAGCGUUUGAUGCGGAAGGAGAGUUAUUUGACCAACUGCACUGACAGACCAACUUGAGACAAGGACCCAGGCAUCUUUAUGACUGGCCUGUUGCUAAACCCCACAAAUGAGAGUAUUUUGGAUUAAGAAAUGUUAACCCAUAGCCUUGGCUACAUUAAAACAUUUGCACAAGGAUGACAAAAUGCUGGGAAGGCCCAGGUCCCUGAAAACAGCUUAGCACCCCUACCAUGCUGCUUCAUACUUCUGAGUAUCACUAGUGGUUCAAGAGGUUGAGAGGGAUAACAGAAAUUUGGUCUAAUUGUGCUUAAAUCAGUAUGUCUUUUGCUAGGCUGAUCUUAAGUCAGCUUGUUAACAAUGUUUUCUUAUGCUCAUGAUACACACAUACUUCUUUUAUCCAUUGCAACAUACUUUUAUCUACCAUGGUUGAAAUUCACUCUGAAUUAGAGGCCAGAACAAAGAACUGUUCACUAUCUACAUCUCACUAAAGGCCUAAGGUGGAAGGCAGGGGGAAUGUAAGAAUUGCAAAGCCUUUGUAGUAACCUGGGCUAGAAACUGAUUUUAUCUUUAAAGCUGUAGUUGUUCCCUUGCUGUUAAGUCUUACUUCACUCUACUGGUUUCAGAGCAGGUAUAAAUAGUACAUAUUUGGCAUUACCAUUUUUUAAUUUGUGCUUUUAAUUUGAUACCUGGAAAGGUAUCUUUCAUGUAAUAUUAAAUCAGAUCCUGUGAUCGUCUUUAUAAAAUAGUGUCCCAGAAGUUAGAGAUAGAAAAGGGUUAAUAAAUUGCCCACUGUAUGAUGCUGUUAAUACACUUCAGCUGAAUUCUACUUUUGUGUCUUUAAUGGACUACCUUCCAAAAUACAGUUAACAUGUCACUUUUAGGUUUUCACUUUGAAACUAAAAAUAGCACAGCUACUUUCUCACAAACUGGUGCUGCUGGUCAUGUGAAAUUAAAACAAGGUGACUGGGAAGGAAGCUAAAAGCUUAAAACUCAGCUAUGUUUGGGCCCAGCUGCAGAGAACAGGAAUGACAUUAAAAUAGUGUUAUGAAGGUGUGAGCCAUGACUACCUUUUCAGGGAGAGUUUUAUGGUAUCAGAUCAGAAAAAAAGUAUUUUAUCCUUUUAAACUGAAAUUCUGAAUGGUUGACAUCUGAGAAGGACACAGAGCACACCAGAACUUAGCAAAAUCUUCUCUUAUGUAUCUUUUGUUACUUAAUUUUCUUUAAGUGCAUUUCUGCACUAAUGCACACUGACAUUAGUAGAAUAGACCAACCAAUGGCAUCUUUUGGUCCUUGUGCAAAACAAUAGUGUGUGUGUAUGCUCACCCUUAAAGUCUGGAUUAUGUCAGUGUAUGGGAGUGGAAAGUUCCACUUACUGCAGGAGGCUUUUUCUGUCUGCUGGAAAUGAAUCAGAAGAGGGGUAGUUUGAGAACAGAAGAAAAGGUUUCACUUCAUUCCUGAAGUUCAUUGUUUCUCUACGUGGAGUUUAGUUUUGAUUUAGCAUCACAAUCCAUACAGGGGCUCUGCCUGACAGAGGAGCUUCCUGCUGGCAGGCAGAGAUGGGGACUGAAGUUUGCGGGGACAGGAGGCUGCUAUGGCUGCUUUCCCUUGCAAAACUGAACACACAUGGCACUGGGCUUUGACCCAGUGGUGGUGGCUGACCUUGCCUCCAACAGAGUCAAUGGCAUUGCUGGCACACAUGUAGGGGUUCAGAGUUGUACAGUUUAGACAGGCUUGAAGAGGUGUCUCUUCAGAUCUUAUGUGUAGUUAAAGAUAUUGAUUUUUAACUAUAUCAGUGCUACAGUAAGAGGUAAACCCCUGAGCCUGUUCCUGCCAAUAGAAAUUUUGGCUUUGACAUACAGGGAGCCACUAACCUGUGUCAGAUACAGAGGCUCCUUCCCAUGUUCUUUGGGAUCUGUGUUACAACAGAAAUAUUCACAUAUCUAGAAUUAGGCAUUUAGCUGACAUACCUUACAAUACAAGGACACUCAGGCGUGUGUGACUGCUUAAAUGCAAAAUUACCACAGGGAUCCCAAAAGAAGGAAUGAAAAGUGAGAAGCCUGAACAACUUGUUUAAAUUUAGGAGGUUAAAAAUAGAAGCUGUGAAAAGUCUGUUAAAUUAUCAUGCCCUUAUCUCUGGCCAAUGCAAAAUUGUUCCCCCUCAGUAUGUUUUCUGGGUCUUUGUCUAGACUUUGUGUGUCUAGAGAGACAUUGGUCUUCAGAACGUUGUACCCAAAAGGCAUGGCUGAGUGUUUGCCAUGGGUAUUUUGUCAAUAUUUCAAGCUACCAGUAUAGCCAUAUAGCUAAGGGAGAAGGUUACUCUGGAACUCUCAGUAUUGUUUUCAGCUCCACAGUGCUUCAGCCUUUGCAUUAAUAUAGUGGAUGUUUUCCUCAGCAGAAGGCAGUGUCUAUUUGUGUAGUUCUCUCUCACACAAAGGAAAAUGUUAGAGGGGGAAAUACAGGAGGGAUAAUGGUGUUUUUUGCUAACUGGAAAAAUUCUCUGAAGCUAACAGCAGUUUCAGCCCUUCUUUUCCCUCUUCUUUUGCCAAGGAUGGCACCCAGAGAAGACCUCUGCAACACCCACCGAGUGCAGUGCAGCACUGCGUGUAUUUGACAAGCUGAGUUUGACACUCAGUGUGCAGAGUGUCAGUUUGUCAAAUACCCCAAGUGAGGCAUUUGCUGAGCAACACAGCGGCACACCAAGGUGACUGGCUCCAGGUACCCAGCAAGGUACUGAACAACCCAUCCCAUCGUUACUGGAUGCUUGACUCUGAUCCUGAGCUGUCAGGUUUCCCUUCUACCCCAGUUUCGGAAGUGCCUAUUGGGAUACUCCUUCUUAACAGCAAAUCUGUACCACCAACAGAAGUGGUGCUGGUACAGUUCCUCCACACUGCGAAGGCAGAGAAUUGGGCCCUGGCUCCUUCUUCGCAGCCAAAACCAGUGCUGUUCUCUUCCACAGCAUUAACUAGCCAGCUGCUCAUUUACAGUCCUGCUCAGUUAACAAGGAUUCUGGCAACUCUAAUCGCAACAUCGUGGGUAAGGGCAGGGUUAUCCAUGAUACAGAAUCUUUUAUUUGGACAUGAAGGAAUCUUAUUUUAUUUGCAAUUGGAGUUCAAACUAAUGAGGCUGCUGGUUAACUUCCUUUUAUCCCAUUAGCCAGUGAAGAGCAUGUUUGUGCAGUCUCUUUUUAAGUUAGACCAUGCAAUCCAUCACUUCUCAAAGCACUGAUGUUUGCAGAAGAUUCCUUGUUUUUGAAUUGUAAUUCCUAAACAGCACUUGUAGCAAGAUUGCCUAUUGCUUUUUUUUUUCCAUUUCUUCUGUUUAGUUAAAGUAAUUCCCUCUUGAAGAUCUAAUGAUUGGUAAACAUUUUUAGUAACUGACUUGCAGCAAAUCAGAUGUCCAGCUAGAGUUGUCUCAGGGUGGAAGGAAUGAUAUAGCGUGGGAAGGCCCAGCCCAGUUUGACAAAUCAAACUCUCUGAAAGCAUUCAACAUUGAAAACUUGGGAACUAAGAAAACCCCAAGACCCUACAGACUUGUUUUGGGACAGUACCAUCAGCUAAUUCUGCAAUAUUUGAGAAUAUUGGCAAAUUUUAAUGUUAAGCUUUGGGGCUUUUUGUUGCAACUAUUUCUAACAAAAUAUUUUGAAGAAGUUGGAGUUUGGGCAAAGCUGGGACCAAUGAAUGCAUAUCAUUGCCUAAGCAAA
Molecule: long non-coding RNA, 6562 nt
Organism: Pezoporus flaviventris
Lineage: Eukaryota; Metazoa; Chordata; Aves; Psittaciformes; Psittacidae
Exons: 2
Source: RefSeq, a predicted model, not a curated record